GCCGGUUUAGCUUAGUGGUAGAGCGUCAGUCUUGUAAACUGAAAGUCGGCGGAUCAAUCCCGCCAUCCGACU
Molecule: transfer RNA, 72 nt
Filed under: Perkinsus olseni
Lineage: Eukaryota; Perkinsozoa; Perkinsida; Perkinsidae
Rfam family: tRNA
About the family: Transfer RNA (tRNA) molecules are approximately 80 nucleotides in length.
Source: Rfam by way of RNAcentral